GCUACUACCGAUUGAAUGGUUUAGUGAGGACUCCUGAUUGGCGCCGCCGCCCCGGCAACGGAGCGGCGGACUGCCAAAAAGUUGUUCAAACUUGAUCAUUUAGAGGAAGUAAAAGUCGUAACAAGGUUUCCGUAGGUGAACCUGCAGAAGGAUCAAGAUCGGAAGAGCGUCGUUUCGGGAAAGAGUUGAGAUCCCGGCGGUCCCCGUAUCACUAAAAAUAAAACACACCACCGCUUGCACCCCCCGUAUUACCCCAGCUCCUGGCCCUACAUCACCC
This 277-nucleotide unclassified non-coding RNA is filed under the name sea anemone metagenome. RNAcentral's name for it is "partial contains small subunit ribosomal RNA and internal transcribed spacer 1". The stretch from base 1 to 158 matches the Rfam family "Eukaryotic small subunit ribosomal RNA", at positions 1678 to 1831 of the family's 1831-position model. The record is from RNAcentral.